RNAcentral lists this non-coding RNA (171 nucleotides) under Enterococcus saccharolyticus. RNAcentral describes it as "Lysine sequence". It matches the Rfam family "Lysine riboswitch aptamer". From Rfam's summary of the family: Riboswitches are metabolite binding domains within certain messenger RNAs that serve as precision sensors for their corresponding targets. Allosteric rearrangement of mRNA structure is mediated by ligand binding, and this results in modulation of gene expression. The record is from RNAcentral. RNAcentral also lists the same sequence under 1 other name. Lineage: Bacteria; Bacillati; Bacillota; Bacilli; Lactobacillales; Enterococcaceae.
CAACGAGGUAGAGGUCGCGAGGUUCAUUAACUCUGUGGAGUGAAGCAACACAUAGAAACAGAACUAGGGAACAUCGCCGAAACAGUCUUUUUUUGCUUAAAAGAACUGUUGGGUCGCAAGUGAAUAAUUUGCGAACUGUCUUAGCAACAGCUAAGGUGCGCUAUGUUUUUG